GACGAACGCUGGCGGCGUGCCUAAUACAUGCAAGUCGAACGGUGAGGCCCUGCUUUUGUUCUUUUCUCAUGUGUUGAAAGCGUGAGUGUCACGCGUGUAUCCCCCCCUUUGCUUUGGGAUAACUUCAUUGAACUGGGUCUCUUAUCCGAUAUGAGCUCCUGCUGCAUGUUUGGUGUUGUUAAGUUUCGGCGGUUGUGGAUGGACUCGAGGCUUAUCAGCUUGUUGGUGGGGUAGUGGCUUACCAAGGCGUUGAGGGGCAGCUGGCCUGGGAGGGUGACCGGCCACAGAGGGACAGAGAUAGGGGCAGGAGGGAUACGGGAGGCAGCAGUGGGGAAUAGUGCAAAAUGGGCGGAAGCAGGAUGCAGGAACGUCGGGUGGGGGAUGACGGCUGUAGGGUUGUAAACCGCUUGCGCCUGGGAAGAAGAGUGAGUGACGGUAAUGGGUAAAAAAGCAACGGCUAACUACGUG
This 468-nucleotide ribosomal RNA is filed under the name uncultured bacterium. Its description in RNAcentral is "partial 16S ribosomal RNA". It matches the Rfam family "Bacterial small subunit ribosomal RNA", at positions 28 to 507 of the family's 1533-position model. The record is from RNAcentral.